This 818-nucleotide long non-coding RNA is filed under the name Triticum aestivum (bread wheat). RNAcentral's name for it is "long non-coding RNA (TAES_LNC024768)". The record is from RNAcentral. Lineage: Eukaryota; Viridiplantae; Streptophyta; Magnoliopsida; Poales; Poaceae.
UGAUGCUGACCACCAAGAGUCCAAGACGGUAACAAAUUCUGACAGAUGGUCAACACGUUAUGCACACAUGCGCCUUUAUUUGUUGCCCGAUGGCAUGGGGACACUUAACACACACGAGGUUACAGUACAUACGCAGUACAUAUGACGGCUCAGUUGCUGCACUGGAUCUAUAGAAGACUUUCAGUAAUACAGACGAAAACAAGGUGCAACGGAUUCAGUGCUCGAGUCGUAAACCACCAGGUUCAACAACGCAUUGCUCGGCUGCACGACGGAGGGAGGCGGGGAGGCCUAACGAACUCGUGGCCGGCGAAGAACCCCUUCUCUUCUUCAGCUCCGGUAGCGCCCAUUCCGCCGCCUGCCGGCAAACAAGCAGAGUCGAGCCGGGCGCUUGAGUCAGACGAGCUCAAAGAUUCAUGAUGCGUAAUGAGAAGUGAGUUCGAUGUGCUGCUCACCGUUGUUACCAGGUUUGAUCGGGGCCUCCAUCGUUGCGCCAUCUUUUUUCAGCGUGUUCUCUGGCGAGAUCGUCCCCCCAACUGCUGCUGGACUGAGGUGGAGAGUUGCAAGCAGAAGAACUGCGAGAACGAGCGCCAGUUUCGCAGCCAUUGGAUGGUGUGAUCGGGUUGGCAAGGGAAAAUUCUGGAUGGAGUGGUGAUCAGUGGCUUGAGCUUUAUGUUGUGACUCUCCUUCCGUUGGCCGAAUUGUGUUAUAGGCUUGUAGCUACUAGUACUAGAUAGGUCGGCAUGAUGUGUCACAACCCACACAAGUCACAUGCUGAACUAAGAGCAUCUCCGGCCGCGCCCCUAGAACGGCCUCCCCAG